GAUUCCUCCCUUGUGGAAGUCUCCCCUGUGAGCCUAGAUCUUCAGAGAUGGGUGGCUCUGCCAUCUCUACUUUUGAGGAUACCCAGAAUGUGAAGUUAAAGUCUUUCUCUAAUGUAAUUAGGGAAAUAUAAGCAUGCAUCAUUAAGAACACACACAGUUUUCCUCUGUUUCUCUCCUUGAGAAAAAAGAAUCUGCACUUCUGUUUUCUUCACGGUCUGAGUCAUUUGUGUCAGCCUUCCAACUGGAAACAAAUAGAAGUUCCACAAGCAGGCAACAUUCAAUAGCUGAGCUCCAGGAGGUCCAACUAACAGUGGUGACCCAGGUGGCCCAGGAAGUCCAACAUCACCCUGUGGAAAUCAGAGGAACAGCAGAAAGAUGUUUUGUUCCAUGCAGCAUUUCAGUGAGAUGUGGAAUGUUUUGCUGUUGCACUACAGCAGUAUGUAUUUUUGUCCUUGUUGAGCAAGUACUAGUACUAAUGCUUAUACGGAGUUGCUUGCUUAUAGCAGAGUUUGUGCUGAGACCUGUAAGCUUCUCUGCAGUCUUCUCUGAUGAGUAUGGCCAACAAUCUUAACUAUCUCCUAUUCUUGUCACUUAUUAAAAAUAAUGUGGCUAGGGAAAUAAAUGACAAUAUCUCAUGCUCUAGACUAAAACCUUUGACACAAAGCUUUGUGAAUGCACUUGAAAUUAUUGAUUUGUUAAGGGAAGUUCUGCAUGUUAUUAACUUUAUAUGGAUUGUAAACAGUGACUACAUAAAUUUGCAAAAGAAAAAUCAAAUAUUUCACUUUUGUUCUGUGCUUUGAGUAUGCUAA
This is a non-coding RNA of Coturnix japonica (Japanese quail), 809 nucleotides long. Lineage: Eukaryota; Metazoa; Chordata; Aves; Galliformes; Phasianidae. The record is from RefSeq and is a predicted model, not a curated record.